RNAcentral lists this long non-coding RNA (309 nucleotides) under Phoenix dactylifera (date palm). Its description in RNAcentral is "long non-coding RNA (PDAC_LNC015487)". The record is from RNAcentral. Lineage: Eukaryota; Viridiplantae; Streptophyta; Magnoliopsida; Arecales; Arecaceae.
UUUUUUAGAAAAAUAAAAAAAAUUAAUAAGUGCAAAAUACUUUUAAAAAUUUAUUUAAAAAUAUGCGGAAUGUCAUAUGCCCCUUAAACCUACAAAUACUUUUAACAACCAACAAAAUCCAAGUUAAGAAACCAUACAAAUAUCACUUAUAUAGCAGGUUCUCCGUCUUCCGAAUCAAUAAUAAUGCAACCAUGCGUAUGUGUUUGUGUGCUAUAUUUAUACUCAAAGGGAAACAUUUUGUAGUUUUUUCGCUGAAUAAUACUAGCUUGAUUUGGAUCUCUUGUAAUUGAAGAUGUAAAGCUGGACACA